UUGAAUCACUUAAUGUAUGUACAGAAUAAAUAAUUUCUGCCUUUUAAAUGAUUAUUAAGAUCGUUAUUAUUAUUUUAUUAUCAUUUUACAUUUUUAUCAUGAAACCUUCUGGUAUAAAUAUUAUCAACAACAAUAAAACUAAACACAUUGCGCUGCCUUACCACGCUGAAAUUUUCCUAUUGGUUAUUUAACCUUAUUUGCUUUGAUCAUGAUUGGUUUAUCUGGCUGUCAUUCAACUGGCCAAUGAAACUGUGUGCGCCAUUUUAAGUUUGAAAAUAUGACCAUUAUACUGAUCGUCUUUCUGAGUGAGGUCGCUGUGAGUGAGAGAGCUGCUGCGCAAUAAAACUGCUAGGUCAGUCCCGAAUUAUUGUAUAAUUUUUGCCUAUUAUGACCGUGUGUAAUUGCUGUUAACGCGAAGGUCUGGAUAUUUUGGAUUCCUUUUCACUUAAUUGUUGAGAUUUUAGAAUGUUAAGAAAUGUGUACAUAUGUUGGUCAGAAAUUUGGAAAUGGUUAGAUUUUAGUGUUUGUCAGUGUUAUCCCUUACGGAAAGGUAAUUCACAUAUAUGUGAAGCACUGUUAAAUAUAUUGAAAUAUAUUUAGAAAAUAUAUUUUUAAAAAUACAUAUGUUGCGUGUGUGUGUGUUUACAUAGGCUAUUUCUGAAAUUAUAUUCAUGCCUCAUGAUUUUUAAUCAACGUGUUUUUAAAAUGGUAAAAAACAUUUACCAUUAAAGCUAUUAUUAUAUUAUAGAUCCUAUAUUCUCAUUCAAUUUAGGUCUACUAUCCACUUAAACAAUAUGUCAUCAAGUUUCAGGACAAGUUUCUAAUUUUAUGUACCGGUACUAUUUAUGUAAACGCUGCGUAACUUUCAUGUGUUUGAUGGGAGUGCGCGUUGAACAUUCGAGGCUCAUUUAAACUGGAGUGGAGGGAGUUUCUAUGGAAACGGGGCGGCAACUCAGCUGACAAAUAGCAAAAAAAUUCCGUCUCUCACUGUUGUUUUUACUGCUUUCAGAAAUGGUUCAGCGUCAUCGGAAAAAGUCCGUUAGCAUCACAAGCGUGAGCUAACCAGAGGCUAACUAUAAGAGGAGUGUCAGAAAAAUCCCUCUAAUGCUGCUGAGAGAGAGAUUGGAAACAGUCUUCCAUGCUGAUGGCUGUGCAGCAGAGUUGGAGGGGACCUCUUGUCGAAGAACAUCUCCAAGACACUAUGAGCAUCUGACUAAUCGUCUGCCUCCCAGUUCCGUGUGCAUACAGUGGAUCUCCUCGUCUUGUCUUCCCUGCAAACCUGUGGACAUCAAGAUAGUUACUAUCAUCACCACCUCUCUUCAGCACUCCAUUCAGUUCUCUUCUACUCAC
Onychostoma macrolepis is the source of this 1350-nucleotide long non-coding RNA. RefSeq lists it as uncharacterized. The transcript has 5 exons. The record is from RefSeq and is a predicted model, not a curated record. Lineage: Eukaryota; Metazoa; Chordata; Actinopteri; Cypriniformes; Cyprinidae.